UAUCUCUCUGUGGUCUCUCCCCCCUGCCCCCGCCCACCUCCGCUUUCGGCCACGUCUCACUUCCCUUUUCUCUCCUCUACGCGCCCUCCCGCCCCUCUGUCCAGGCCCCUUUCAUCCUGAGGCUCGAAGUGGAACUUUCCCCCACUCCCUUACUUGGAGAUUUCUUUUUUCCCAGUGACCUGGGCUGCACUUUGCCCCCGCUCCCUGCCUGCCAAUCUCCUCGGGGGUAGGGCCUCUCUCUUUCCAUUCUUGCGACUCCCCCUCCUCGAGAGCCCCGGGAGGCCCAGCCUCCCAGAAUCCGAUCUCCCCCCAACGCAGCAGCCCCCCGCCGAGGAAGGAAGAGGCCUCCUCGGAAUGAAUGGCUGACAGGGGAGCUCCAAACUUCCAAUAAAUCUACCAUGAAAAAACCAGCUGGGACCCAAAGAGAAAGCCAUAAGGAUGUUUACGGACUCUCAGCUCUCUGGGGAGGCAGCUAAGUUUCACGUGCUAGUAAUUCUCUCUUUCUGAAUGCUUCCUGCUUCAGGCUGGUCAGCCUUGACUUACCCCAGAGGACACCAGGACAUUGGCCAGAGAAUCAGGGAGGGAGAUAGGAUGCAAUCUGAAUGGAAGAUGGGGCAAGUGGCUUGACCUUGAUCGCCGUUAGAAGCCUGACCUUCAAGACUGGACCAAGCUAUGUCUAUUCAUGGCCCACGAUGGUGGAGGACUCACUAGAAAGAAAAAUCUUCACCGGGGCUCUAAAGCCAUCCACCCACUGCCUUCAAGGGGAGUACUCCUCCAUUCUUCACCUUGCUCCCCAGGAAAUGGGUAGGGUGAAUGCAGAGAUGAUGAAGCUGACAGGCAUUACAUCAAAUUUUACACGCAAAUACACACAUUUGAAUCCCUCUCUUAAUUUUUUCAUUCCUCCACCAAGGAAUAACAAGUCAGUAGUCUCUAAGGUAGCCAGUCUCUUCACUUGUGAUAAUUUAGGGAACAUGAUGGAAAAGACCGUUGGUGAAACAGAUUUGGAGUUCCCUCCCACAGGUAUUGUACGUUUGGAUUCUGAGUCUCCUCGGCAUCCUGGAGCAAAUGCCUCCUCUCCCUGUGAGGUUCUGAUGGAUGGAAAUGGCAGCCCAAGGAUCACUAGCCAAUCAUGAAACCAAGUGUAGCUUUUAGAGUGCUAUGGUUUAGAUGUGAGAUGUCCCCCAAAAGCUCAUGUGUGAGACAAUGCAAGAAGGUUCAGAGGAGAAAUGAUUGGGUUAUAAGAGUCUUAAAUCACUAAUCAGUGAUUUAAUCCCCUGAUAGGGAUUAACUGAGUGGUAACAGAAGAGGUGGGGUGUGGCUGAGAACGUGGGGACUGGGGUGUGGCUCUGGGGUAUAUAUUUGUACCUGGCGAGUGGAGACAGCGUUCUCUCUCUGCUUCCCGACCAUCAUGUGAGCUGCUUCCCACUGCCACACUGUUCCGCUUUACCUCGAGCCCCAAGGAAUGGACCAGCCUUCUAUGGACUAAGACCUCUGAAAUUGUGAGCUCUCAAAUAAACUUUGCCUCCUAAAAUACUUCUGCUUAGAUCUUUUAGUCAUAGCAGCAAAAAAGCUGACUUCAAUAAAGAGUCUCUGGG
This is a long non-coding RNA of Ictidomys tridecemlineatus (thirteen-lined ground squirrel), 1595 nucleotides long. The record is from Ensembl. Lineage: Eukaryota; Metazoa; Chordata; Mammalia; Rodentia; Sciuridae.